RNAcentral lists this ribosomal RNA (2185 nucleotides) under Chrysomya megacephala (oriental latrine fly). RNAcentral describes it as "eukaryotic LSU rRNA". It matches the Rfam family "Eukaryotic large subunit ribosomal RNA", at positions 28 to 1917 of the family's 3401-position model. The record is from RNAcentral. Lineage: Eukaryota; Metazoa; Arthropoda; Insecta; Diptera; Calliphoridae.
CUGAAUUUAAGCAUAUUAAUGAGGGGAGGAAAAGAAACUAACAAGGAUUUUCUUAGUAGCGGCGAGCGAAAAGAAAAGAGUUCAGCACUAAGUCACUUUGUCUUUAUGGCAAAUGUGAGAUGCAGUGUAUGGAAUGUCAAAUUUCUAGUAUGAGAAAUUAACGAUUUAAGUCCUUCUUAAAUGAGGCCAUUUACCCAAAGAGGGUGCCAGGCCCGUAUAACGUUAAUGAUUACUAGAUGGCAUUUCCAAAGAGUCGUGUUGCUUGAUAGUGCAGCACUAAGUGGGUGGUAAACUCCAUCUAAAACUAAAUAUAACCAUGAGACCGAUAGUAAACAAGUACCGUGAGGGAAAGUUGAAAAGAACUCUGAAUAGAGAGUUAAAUAGUACGUGAAACUGCUUAGAGGUUAAGCCCGAUGAACCUGAAUAUCCGUUAUGGAAAAUUCAUCAUUAUGAUUUUAAUAUUUAUAAUAUUAUAAUAAUGGUGUGCAUUUUUUCUAUAAAGGACAUUGUAAUCUAUUAACAUACAAAUAUUUAUCAUAAGAUCAAGGGCGUAAGUUUAUUCAAAUUAUUUUGCUUGCAAUUUAACAUAGAAUAAAUGUCUUUGAUUUGAUAAAGUGUUGAUAGAUUUAUUAUAUAUAGUGCUUAAAUAUUUAUAUUUUAUAAUAGCAUAUUAAUCAUUGAUUUUUAUGUUUAUUAUAUGCACUUAUAUGAUUAACAAUGCGAAAGAUUCAGGAUACCUUCGGGACCCGUCUUGAAACACGGACCAAGGAGUCUAACAUAUUUGCAAGUUAUUGGGAAUAAAAACCUAAUAGCGAAAUUAACAUAACUUAUUAAUGGGAUUAGUUUUUAGCCUAUUUAUAGUCUAUUAAUUCAAUCCCGGGGCGUUCUAUCAGUUAUGUAUAAUAAUAUUUAUAUUAUUUAUACCUCUAACUAGAGCGUACCUUGAGCAUAUAUGCUGUGACCCGAAAGAUGGUGAACUAUACUUGAUCAGGUUGAAGUCAGGGGAAACCCUGAUGGAAGACCGAAACAGUUCUGACGUGCAAAUCGAUUGUCAGAAUUGAGUAUAGGGGCGAAAGACCAAUCGAACCAUCUAGUAGCUGGUUCCCUCCGAAGUUUCCCUCAGGAUAGCUGGUGCAUUUAAAAAUUAUGUAAAAUAAUCUUAUCUGGUAAAGCGAAUGAUUAGAGGCCUUAGGGUCGAAACGACCUUAACCUAUUCUCAAACUUUAAAUGGGUAAGAACCUCACCUUUCUUGGUAUGAAGGUCGUGGUUGUGAUAUAAUGUGCCCAGUGGGCCACUUUUGGUAAGCAGAACUGGCGCUGUGGGAUGAACCAAACGUAAUGUUACGGUGCCCAAAUUAACAACUCAUGCAGAUACCAUGAAAGGCGUUGGUUGCUUAAAACAGCAGGACGGUGGACAUGGAAGUCGUAAUCCGCUAAGGAGUGUGUAACAACUCACCUGCCGAAGCAACUAGCCCUUAAAAUGGAUGGCGCUUAAGUUGUAUACCUAUACAUUACCGCUAAAGUAGAUGGUUUAUGUUCAAUUUCGGUUGGAUUAUAAACUUUGAAACUUUAGUGAGUAGGAGGGUACAAUGGUGAGCAUAGAAGUGUUUGGCGUAAGCCUGCAUGGAGCUGCCAUUGGUACAGAUCUUGGUGGUAGUAGCAAAUAAUCGAAUGAGACCUUGGAGGACUGAAGUGGAGAAGGGUUUCGUGUGAACAGUGGUUGAUCACGAGUUAGUCGGUCCUAAGUUCAAGGCGAAAGCCGAAAAUUUUCAAGUUAUAAUGAAAAGUAUAAAUAAUUUUACUUAGUAAUUAAACACUUGAAUAAUUUUGAACGAAAGGGAAUACGGUUCCAAUUCCGUAACCUGUUGAGUAUCCGUUUGUUAUUAAAUAUGGGCCUUGUGCUCAUCCUGGCAACAGGAACGACCAUAAAGAAGCCGUCGAGAGAUAUCGGAAGAGUUUUCUUUUCUGUUUUAUAGUCGUACUACCAUGGAAGUCUUUCGAAGAGAGAUAUGGUAGAUGGACUAGAAGAGCAUGACAUUUACUGUUGUGUCGAUAUUUUCUCCUCGGACCUUGAAAAUUUAUGGUGGGGUCACGCAAACUUCUCAACAGGCCGUACCAAUAUCCGCAGCUGGUCUCCAAGGUGAAGAGUCUCUAGUCGAUAGAAUAAUGUAGGUAAGGGAAGUCGG